UACAGAGGUCUCAAGCGUUGUUCGGAUUCAUUGGGUGUAAAGGGUGCGUAGGCGGCGCGGUAAGUCGGGUGUGAAAUCUUGGAGCUUAACUCCGAAACUGCAUUCGAUACUGCUGUGCUUGAGGACUGGAGAGGAGACUGGAAUUUACGGUGUAGCGGUGAAAUGCGUAGAUAUCAGGAGGAACACCGAUGGCGAAGGCAGCUCGCUGGGACGGUACUGACGCUGAGGCGCGAAAGCGUGGGGAGCGAACAGG
RNAcentral lists this ribosomal RNA (253 nucleotides) under uncultured bacterium. Its description in RNAcentral is "partial 16S ribosomal RNA". It matches the Rfam family "Bacterial small subunit ribosomal RNA", at positions 524 to 776 of the family's 1533-position model. The record is from RNAcentral.